GGAGUUGAACUGUGAGUUCCGAGGGUUCAGCUGGUGAUUUUGAUUGGGCUUGGCCAAAUUGGUUGGGCUUCAGGGUCUGUUUAGCUGCAGGUCUUUACCUUCUGGUGAGGAUGCGCGAUGCACUCGUUGAGUGUUGUGCGCCCUGGAUGUUCCGAACGUGGUCGCCAGUGCACUCCCUCGGGACGGUCACCACGACCGGCACUGCCGUCUGUCUGUUGCGGUUAAACCGGUUGUGCAUUGUCCUUGUGGCUUUGCGUGAUCGGGACGGCAGGUAACUCGUUGGUUUGCUUGCAAGCUUUCGGGUGAAAUCAGCUGACUGCAAUUUGACUGUGCGGUGUGUCGGGGACGGCGGCUUGAGGUGUGUGCGUGCGUACCAGUUUGCUGGCGCGUCCGUGUUAGGUUGCUCAGUUGCUCACGUAGUGGGCCAAGCGGCGACUGGGACGCGUGUGGUGAGCGGUUGCGUGCGUGGCACUAUUCUUGGGCCUAUAGUCUGUGGUGUUGCGGUAGACUAUCCAUCCGACCCGUCUUGAAACACGGACCA
Molecule: ribosomal RNA, 541 nt
Filed under: Neolebouria maorum
Lineage: Eukaryota; Metazoa; Platyhelminthes; Trematoda; Plagiorchiida; Opecoelidae
Description: partial large subunit ribosomal RNA
Source: RNAcentral